GUGGAUAUAGCUCAGCGGUAGAGCACAUGCUUAGCUUGUGCGAGGUCCUGGGUUCAAUCCCCAGUACCUCCA
RNAcentral lists this transfer RNA (72 nucleotides) under Camelus bactrianus (Bactrian camel). It matches the Rfam family "tRNA". From Rfam's summary of the family: Transfer RNA (tRNA) molecules are approximately 80 nucleotides in length. Their secondary structure includes four short double-helical elements and three loops (D, anti-codon, and T loops). Lineage: Eukaryota; Metazoa; Chordata; Mammalia; Artiodactyla; Camelidae. The record is from Rfam by way of RNAcentral. RNAcentral also lists the same sequence under 2 other names.